Molecule: ribosomal RNA, 720 nt
Filed under: uncultured Hydnellum
Lineage: Eukaryota; Fungi; Basidiomycota; Agaricomycetes; Thelephorales; Thelephoraceae
Description: eukaryotic LSU rRNA
Rfam family: 5.8S ribosomal RNA (bases 258-411)
Source: RNAcentral
AGGUUUCCGUAGGUGAACCUGCGGAAGGAUCAUUAAUGAGAUUAUAUUAGCAUUUGGGAAGAAGGCUGUUGCUGGCUUAACUUUGCAUGUGCACGCCUUAUGACCGGAUGUUAUUUGUCCUAUUCACACACCUGUGCACCAUCUGUAGCUUAGGGGAUGAUCACGAGAUUGUCGAAUGCCCCCUGGCUAUGAAUUGUUUUUACAUUGCCUAAUAUAAUAAAAAGUUUUUUGGAACGUUUGGGAAUUGGAAUAUAUAUAACUUUCAGCAACGGAUCUCUUGGCUCUCGCAUCGAUGAAGAACGCAGCGAAAUGCGAUAAGUAAUGUGAAUUGCAGAAUUCAGUGAAUCAUCGAAUCUUUGAACGCACCUUGCGCUCCUUGGUAUUCCGAGGAGCAUGCCUGUUUGAGUGUCAUGAAAUUCUCAACUGCUUUGGCUUUAUUGUUCAAAGUGAAGUUGGAUGUGGAGUUUAUAUUGUCGGCUGUGGUUCGACUACUCCAAAAAGCAUUAAAGCCUUUUUGUAACAUCUUGGCAGAAAGUAUCUUUGACGUGAUAAUUGUCUACGUCGUAGAGAAACGCCUCGAGGGCUUUGUAACAAUUUUUUUUGACCUAUUCGACCUCAAAUCAGGCAGGACUACCCGCUGAACUUAAGCAUAUCAAUAAGCGGAGGAAAAGAAACUAACAAGGAUUCCCCUAGUAACUGCGAGUGAAGCGGGAAAAGCUC